RNAcentral lists this small nuclear RNA (197 nucleotides) under Amborella trichopoda. RNAcentral describes it as "snRNA U2". It matches the Rfam family "U2 spliceosomal RNA". From Rfam's summary of the family: U2 is a small nuclear RNA (snRNA) component of the spliceosome (involved in pre-mRNA splicing). The record is from Rfam by way of RNAcentral. Lineage: Eukaryota; Viridiplantae; Streptophyta; Magnoliopsida; Amborellales; Amborellaceae.
AUACCUUUUUCGGUCUUUUGGCUAAGAUCAAGUGUAGUAUUUGUUCUUAUCAGUUUAAUAGCUGAUACAUGAUCCAUUGGACCACAUGAUAUUAAAUUAAAUUUUCAAUGGGGUAGGGACCACCACUCUAGCUUGCUAGUGGAUACCUCGAGUGUUACCCAUGUGUUGCAUUAUUACUGGGGCCCGGCGCACCCCUA